Molecule: small RNA, 894 nt
Filed under: Pongo abelii (Sumatran orangutan)
Lineage: Eukaryota; Metazoa; Chordata; Mammalia; Primates; Hominidae
Description: unitary pseudogene
Source: RNAcentral
GACAGUGGGAACCAGACCACCUGGGUGAUCCUAGUGGGCUUCGGGGAGCUGCAAUACCUGGGCUUCCUUCCCUUCACUCUCUUCCUGGCCAUCUAUGUGGUGACAGUUGGGGGCAAUGCCCUCAUCAUGCUGGCUGUGGCCUCUAGUCGGACACUGCACCCACCAAUGUACUUCUUCCUCUGCCACUUCUCCCUGCUGGAGAUUGGCUAUACCUCCAACGUCAUAUGUGGCUGUUGCAGAGUUUCUUGGAGGGGAGGGAAGUCAUCUCGCUAGUCAGCUGUCUGGCUCAGUACUACGUGUUUUCCUCGCUGGCUGCAGCUGAGUUCCUCCUGCUAUCUGCCGUGUCCUGUGACUGUUACUUGGCCAUCUGCUGCCCCCUUCACUAUCCUGCCCUGAUGAGCACCUGGUUUUGUCACUGCCUGGCCGCUGGUGCUUGGUUCAGUGGAUUCUUCUCCUCUGCCUUCACUAUGGCCCUGGCAGCACCUCUGUCCUGGCAGCAGGGAGAUUGACCACUAUUUCUGUGAGUUUGCUCCAGUAGUCAGGCCGUUCUGCGGGGAUGUGGGAGUCAUGUAGGGAGCUGAAGUCAGCAUCUCAGGCUUCCUGACACUGGCCCCCUUCCUACUGAUUGUGGCAUCCUAUGCCUUCAUUGAGGGCUGUACCGCAAAUACCUUCAGGCCAUGGGAGGCAGAAAGCCUUCUUCACCUGUUCCUCCCACCUCACCGUAGUUGGGGUAUUUUAUGGCACCCUCAUUGUGGUCUAUGUGGCCCCAACAGAAUACAUGUCCCCUUGCUUCUAAAGGUCUUCUCUGUCCUCUACACAGUGUUCACUCCCAUGGUCAACUCCAUCAUCCACAGCCUCAAGAACCAAGAGGUGAAGGGGGCUCUGCAUAGGCUC